This 253-nucleotide ribosomal RNA is filed under the name uncultured bacterium. Its description in RNAcentral is "partial 16S ribosomal RNA". It matches the Rfam family "Bacterial small subunit ribosomal RNA", at positions 524 to 776 of the family's 1533-position model. The record is from RNAcentral.
UACAGAGGGGGCAAGCGUUGUUCGGAAUUACUGGGCGUAAAGGGCGCGUAGGCGGCCUGCUAAGUCGAACGUGAAAUCCCUGGGCUCAACCCAGGAACUGCGUCCGAUACUGGUUGGCUUGAAUCCGGGAGAGGGAUGUGGAAUUCCAGGUGUAGCGGUGAAAUGCGUAGAUAUCAGGAGGAACACCGGUGGCGAAGGCGGGUCUCUGGGCCGAUACUGACGCUGAGGAGCGAAAGCGUGGGGAGCAAACAGG